Molecule: long non-coding RNA, 799 nt
Organism: Hordeum vulgare subsp. vulgare (domesticated barley)
Lineage: Eukaryota; Viridiplantae; Streptophyta; Magnoliopsida; Poales; Poaceae
Exons: 2
Source: RefSeq, a predicted model, not a curated record
UAUAUUUGUUUUACAGGUGUGAGUUACAAGCCACCAUUUAAAUUUUGCCUGAAAUGGAAAACGACGCGAGGAGGUCCGUAUCUUAACCGGUCAGAAAACGAGCGAAAACGCUAAUCCAAACGGGGCCUAAGUGUUUUCCACUAGCACAUGGAAACCCACCGCUUUAUCUAGACCUUCCGUAUAAAAAAUGACCUUCUCAAUCUAACACGCAUCCCUCCUGCUCCGUCUACAGCCUCCUGCGCGGCCACGGCUCCCUGCUCCUCCACCACCAUCACCACAACCUCUCUCCUACCCUUCCUCUCUUUUCUCUUUUCUUUCCCUGGCGGACGAGAUGUGUUGUGGACGGCGGCGAUGUAAGAAAGCCGGGAGGUAUGCCGAUGGACAUGCCAGGCAACGUUUGCUGCGCAAGGAUAGGGUAGCAGAUGUGCCGGUGCGAGAUCUACGCUUCACUACGGAGGCCGUGGCGAUCAAACAGACGGUAGGUGGGACCUCGCUGGGGCCGGCAAUACGGCGUUAUUGGCCUCUGCGACACACCAUCAUAUCCAUAGAAGGCAGGAAAAGGGCAGGCGGAACGCGGUUUGCGGAGACGAUUGUCGUGGAGGCAACAUGUGUGGGGUGGUGAGCCAAAACUAUUCAGGGCUUUACAUGUUCUUUGGUAAGUAAUUGGACCAGUUAUGCAUGCUUCUUCAUGGAUACCAACGGUGGCUCCAAGUAAUGAAAUAUGAAGAUUUGUUUAUAUUUUGUUAGCUGAUAUCUAUAUCCACACAGCUAAAUAGCUUAAUGCAACGAGUUGCCUCUC